AGUGAACGCUGGCGGUAGGCCUAACACAUGCAAGUCGAACGGCAGCACAGUAAGAGCUUGCUCUUACGGGUGGCGAGUGGCGGACGGGUGAGGAAUACAUCGGAAUCUACUUUUUCGUGGGGGAUAACGUAGGGAAACUUACGCUAAUACCGCAUACGACCUACGGGUGAAAGCAGGGGAUCUUCGGACCUUGCGCGAUUGAAUGAGCCGAUGUCGGAUUAGCUAGUUGGCGGGGUAAAGGCCCACCAAGGCGACGAUCCGUAGCUGGUCUGAGAGGAUGAUCCGCCACACUGGAACUGAGACACGGUCCAGACUCCUACGGGAGGCAGCAGUGGGGAAUAUUGGACAAUGGGCGCAAGCCUGAUCCAGCCAUACCGCGUGGGUGAAGAAGGCCUUCGGGUUGUUAAGCCCUUUUGUUGGGAAAGAAAAGCAGCAGGUUAAUACCCCGCUGUCCUGACGGUACCCAAAGAAUAAGCACCGGCUAACUUCGUG
Molecule: ribosomal RNA, 492 nt
Filed under: uncultured bacterium
Lineage: Bacteria
Description: partial 16S ribosomal RNA
Rfam family: Bacterial small subunit ribosomal RNA
Source: RNAcentral